UGGGGAAUAUUGGACAAUGGGCGCAAGCCUGAUCCAGCCACGCCGCGUGAGUGAUGAAGGCCUUCGGGUCGUAAAGCUCUGUGGGGAGGGACGAACCGCCGAUGGUUAAUACCCAGCGGCAUGACGGUACCUCCUUAGCAAGCACCGGCUAACUUCGUGCCAGCAGCCGCGGUAAUACGAAGGGUGCAAACGUUGCUCGGAAUUAUUGGGCGUAAAGCGCACGUAGGCGGCUUGGCAAGUCGGAUGUGAAAUCCCUCGGCUCAACCAAGGAAGUGCAUCCGAAACUGCUAAGCUUGAGUACUUAAGAGGAUCGCGGAAUUCCCGGUGUAGAGGUGAAAUUCGUAGAUAUCGGGAGGAACACCAGUGGCGAAGGCGGCGAUCUGGGAAGAUACUGACGCUGAGGUGCGAAAGCGUGGGGAGCAAACAG
RNAcentral lists this ribosomal RNA (427 nucleotides) under uncultured bacterium. Its description in RNAcentral is "bacterial SSU rRNA". It matches the Rfam family "Bacterial small subunit ribosomal RNA", at positions 355 to 775 of the family's 1533-position model. The record is from RNAcentral.